Molecule: long non-coding RNA, 399 nt
Filed under: Lathyrus oleraceus (garden pea)
Lineage: Eukaryota; Viridiplantae; Streptophyta; Magnoliopsida; Fabales; Fabaceae
Description: Pisum sativum (pea) long non-coding RNA (PSAT_LNC026368)
Source: RNAcentral
UGUGAUUGGUUUGAGAUCACCAAGCAUGCUUGAAUUAUACAUCAUUGUUUCUCUUACUUUUGUUUACUAACCAAAAGCACAAAAAUGUGUCACUAACAUCUUUUGUUUGAAGCUUGAGUAUCAUCCAAGACACUUUAUGGGUUCUAUUUAGAUGACCAGUCAACACAAGGGAAUGACUUGAGAUACUUCCAACAGGUUCAAAUGGGGUAUAUUCGUCAGUCAAAACGUUAAUCUUGAAGGAGCAAAAGUUUGUUCAUGAGUUGUCAUGCUCGCUAGGCGAGCAGAAUGGGUCGCCUAGCGAGUCCCCAAGAAAAGCCACCAGAAUCACAUACGCUCAGAGGAAUUUCUUGAACUAUCAUGCUCGCUAGGCGAAGCCCACGUGUUUAAAAAAAAGAAAAA